AAACCUUUAUUUGUGCUGUGAAGGGGAAGAAAAAUGAUUAGUCAUCAUACAUGAUGCAACAGGACUGGUUCUCACCACACAGAGCAACAGAGACGUGAUUUUCACCACCUACUUUUACAGUUUCGAUUUCACAACAGCAUAACGCAACAUAUUUUUAAACAUCACCAAAGAACCCAGAAGAUGUAACUCCCAAGGGUAAUAAGUAGUGGGGAUUUAAAAUUUUCAAAGUAAAUUUAAGGGGAAAAGGGAGAUGAUAAAAAGCCACAGCUGUUACUUUACCAAUUAAAUAGGUGCAUCUCAGAAACAAGUAUCACAAGAGUUCAGAUCUUCCCCUGGAUUUUUACAGACCGUAUCUAAAGCACUUGCCCAGCCCUAGUUUUGUUCUCAUUUCCAAAACUGAUUUUGGUUUAAUAGUUUCCCACAUGAAGUACUGGGUCACUUAAAAAGCACAAACAUUCAAACUAAAGAUACAGCGGAUUAUGAACUGAAACCUUAUCAAGGAUACAUGGACUAUUUGCUACCAAACAUACAGUGACGACAGCGGUCACAAGGUUACUACGUUCUUCUUGUCACAACAAGGACAAAAAGGUUAACGGGAAAAACUUCUGCUGUUACUAGUACCAAUCACAAAGACAAGAGAUGUGUUUAAUAAGGCAGGAGAUGACAUGCGGAAUUCCUCUAGAAACCAUUUUCACUCUGCUCAAGUUUUCAAUUGCAAAACCUCAGCUAAGAUGUUACAAACCCAGAAAAGUACAUCUGACCAUCUUAAGUGCACACCAAAAUCUGAAACAUAAUACUUCAAAAGCCCUCAAUUUGGGUAUUUAGAGUCUUAAGACUGCUCGGGAUUCUGCACACAUUCAGAUAAACCACUUUGAAGCUUGCAAAGCGUUGAAAGAUGUUAAUCUGCUGAUGCAAGUUCCUGACACCAGUCUUUCAAGUGACUGAUAACCAGGCUGUUACCUUUUCCAGUCCUCCCCAUCUUGCAAAGCAAAACAAUUUUGCUUUCCUUCCUGCAAUUAAGAGUUCUAAGCAUUUUAGAAAAUUUGCAAGCAACUUUUGUGCUUCCAAGCAACAACUAGCAUUAACAAUUUACUAUUAACUAGUAUUUUCUUCUCCCACGAACUCUACGUAACUCACCAGAGCUCUGCCUAUUGAUAUUUUCUCCAGAAAAUUCCCUCCGACCCACACUCCCAACCACUCCCACCCUACAGAACCCACACCUAAUCACAACCCUCUCCCUUUCUUCCCCCCCUCCCCCUCCCCAGCGCCAGGGCCAAAUCAUCCCCUCCCUCCCAAUCCCUCACCUCGGGGUCCCCUCAUUUGAAGACUAAAAUUACUUUGAAAUCUAAUCAAAUAAAAUUCAAGUUAAAAAGUAUAUAGGGCAAGAUGGAGCAGAGACCACUAUCAGUA
Molecule: long non-coding RNA, 1410 nt
Filed under: Sus scrofa (pig)
Lineage: Eukaryota; Metazoa; Chordata; Mammalia; Artiodactyla; Suidae
Description: lncRNA (ENSSSCG00015044214.1)
Source: RNAcentral